AGACGCAUUCUACUUUCCAUUCCAUUCCAUUCAAAGACAUUCAGAGUACUGAUUUAGAGUACGGUUGGUCUCAAAGAAGCUUGUUUUGUAGUGAUAACAGUUUUUCCAAAAACAACGUUGUAGAAAUGUUUAUAUAUUUAUUGGUUAUGAAUUAUCAUCGAAUAAACACAAAAGAAGGCAGAUUUUCAAUUCUCCAUUUCGAAGGUGAUUAAGAACAAGUUAUUGGCAUGGAGCGGCAGUGAUUUCUCCAACAAAAUGGCACUCCACACCACACUAUGCCGUUCCUGUUUGAGCUUAUUUCAAUCAAUUAUUUCUCAAUCGAUGGAUUGUGGGGGAAGAGAGCCAAUUGAGUGGGCUGCAAUAUCAUCAGAUUUGACUAUGUGCCGGACUUCUUCCUUUAGAGAUAUCUGAAGAGAAACCUUUACACCAUUGGACCAAAUAUUUUGGAUGAACACAAAAUCAGAAUCCGAAAAGUUCAGCGAAUAAUUUUUGAUAUCUUAGGGAAUUAAUUGUCAAGAAGAAUUUAAAAAUCGUGUAAGAGCUGCCCAAGGUGAUGCCAAACCUCUAAAAGUACAGAUAGUAUCAAUUUGUCUUGGUUGUGCACUGCAAUAACAAACCACCUUCAAGAAAGUUAAUUUGGAUUAACAAUAUAAUGACACCAACUAUGGUUUUCCUGUAGUCUAACUUUUGAAGACAAUUCCUCAGUUCAACAGCUUGCGUGCAAAUUUCAUGGAUUUAAGAUAGUCAAUCAUUGUCCAACUAAAAUGGAACCAUUACAUUGAUAGUAAAUAUUUUGUCUCAUAUUCAAUGAAGCUUCCUUCAGUAGGUCUAUCAAAUUAACUUCGAAACAUUAAUUGAUGCUGAAUUUGACUUUCUAUUGUCACAUGGGGUUAUUAUCAGACCAACAUAAAUUUGUAUAUUGUUUUCAUAAUAUGCUGCAGAGAUAUCUCAAUGAUUUCGUAUUUGUGAUUUGUCGUUAGGAACCAGUCUUUUAAGGCUGUGCUAUGGAUAGGUACACAAACGUUCUACCAAGAAUAAUUGCCAGAAAGUUUGAAUAAUUCUUUGUGGAACGCAUGUGUACGUGCAACCUGUAUUUUAGGAUCCACUUUUUUGAUUAAAAUUCCUAAAAUGUAAUUCUUCCUUAUAAGUCUACUAAUUUUUCUGUGUACUGGAACCCAAACAUUAAUAAUAUAAGUUUCUCCCAAUGUUUUGAAUGUUAACAAUGUCAUGAUGUUCUCAUGCUUCAAGUCAUAAUGCCCAUAAUAAUUGUUUGAAAAGGACUCAUCUUGAUCAAAGAGGUUGUGAGAUGAGAUCUUUUCAAGAUACAUUUCAGAAUAUAACGUAUAUUCCACCAUUAUAACUAGAAGAUAUGAGCCGAUCUUUCUCAUAAAAUACACAGGCUUGUUCUCUAUAAAUGCAAUAAUGUCAGAUUCUGAUUCUUUGUCGAAAGUUAAGAUUACUUUUUUACACAGGUCUAGUGUACCCAGGUUAUGUUAGAAAAACAACAUUAACUAUUAUAGACGACAUUAUCAAAGAACAACAAUUGCAUACUUAUGAUUACAAAUUAUGUCGAUCAAACUACAAUAAAAUAUGUGAUAAUUUUUAAUACCACUAUACAAAAAACAAAAAAAUGUAUUAUACAGUGGUUCCAAGUCAAACUCGAACAUUGGAGCUUUUAUUACUAAAAAUGUUCAAAUUAAAACAGUUCAAAAAAAAAAAGUAAAUUGAAACACUAAUGAAGUUCAACCUAUUUGUUAUUUCUUUGUUGUUUUUUUGUUCACCAACCUGUCUGUUUUAUAAAGCGUUGUACCUAAGUGUGGGAUGAUUUAAACAGUUACAGAUAUAAUUUUUUUCGUUUCUAUACAAUUUGCGAAUGUCGACGUCAUGUAUAGGCAAUUUAUUAUCUAGAGCGGUUCUUUCUAGGUAAUAACAAAUUCGCAAAUUUCUGUUAAUUUUUCUUUGUAUGUCCCUUUCUCCUCAAUGUAUUUUGAAUUAUAACCAAAGUCCAUUAUACAAGUCCAUUAGUUGAUUAAGAAAAAAAUAAAUUUGCAAACUGUUAUGUACUUUAACUAGUCUUUAAUUGUUAAUUAGGUAGUUAGUCUGACUAAAUAUCAUUUACAAGUACUAUCACAUCAUCUAUCAAGCAUUUAUUUCUAACAAUUAGUUACAGUUCUCCUCCAGCUCCUGCAAUUCGUGCAUUUUUCAAUUGUUGUUCCAAGUGUCCAGCACUUGGUACAACAAAUUACCCUUGGUACAGGACAUCGUUUUUGCCAAUGUCCUGAUUUUAAACAAAUCCAACAAACUUAGGGUACUGGAAAAGGUAUAACAUUUUCUGUAUCCCAACUUUCUUCUACUUGUAAGAUCUGUUCUAAAAGAAGAGAUUAGAGAAUUAAUUACUUAAAUGAAAAAAAAAAAAA
Molecule: long non-coding RNA, 2417 nt
Filed under: Onthophagus taurus
Lineage: Eukaryota; Metazoa; Arthropoda; Insecta; Coleoptera; Scarabaeidae
Description: uncharacterized LOC111418479
Source: RNAcentral